This 253-nucleotide ribosomal RNA is filed under the name uncultured bacterium. Its description in RNAcentral is "partial 16S ribosomal RNA". It matches the Rfam family "Bacterial small subunit ribosomal RNA", at positions 524 to 776 of the family's 1533-position model. The record is from RNAcentral.
UACGUAGGGUCCGAGCGUUGUCCGGAAUUAUUGGGCGUAAAGGGCUCGUAGGCGGUUUGUUGCGUCGGGGGUGAAAACUUCGAGCUUAACUCGGAGCUUGCUUUCGAUACGGGCAGACUUGAGGCAUUCAGGGGAGAACGGAAUUUCUGGUGUAGCGGUGAAAUGCGCAGAUAUCAGAAGGAACACCGGUGGCGAAGGCGGUUCUCUGGGAAUGUUCUGACGCUGAGGAGCGAAAGUGUGGGGAGCAAACAGG